Ostrinia nubilalis (European corn borer) is the source of this 251-nucleotide long non-coding RNA. RefSeq lists it as uncharacterized. The transcript is spliced from 3 exons. Lineage: Eukaryota; Metazoa; Arthropoda; Insecta; Lepidoptera; Crambidae. The record is from RefSeq and is a predicted model, not a curated record.
UGGUAGAAUUUCUCCAUGUAUCGUGCAAAAUGUUUUGAUUUUACGUUACACACUUGUUGUGAAGCAAAAAGCCUGACUCCUAUUUAAUCGAAUUUUCACCACUUUACAUUGGAUUACCUACAAAAUAGUUAUGAGCAGAAGAGCAAGAUAAGUGACCAAAAAAAUAAUAAGAACCCUGAAUCUGAUGAGGCAAGAAUGCGACCAGACUCCCCUCCGUGAUGCUGUUGCUGCUGUCCCGGGUAGAGAGCGAG